This 1075-nucleotide unclassified non-coding RNA is filed under the name Hevea brasiliensis (rubber tree). The record is from RNAcentral. Lineage: Eukaryota; Viridiplantae; Streptophyta; Magnoliopsida; Malpighiales; Euphorbiaceae.
AAGACAAAAACUAAGACUUGCUACUCUAAUCCAGUCUAAGCCAUGGUUUUUUAUCGGCCAUUGUCCAUAGUGGAGUUUUUUUACUAUGAUACAAACCUAUAUAUUGGUAACAAAUACUCUUCUUAAGCAAGUAUGCCAUUUUCCUUGGAUGCUGUAGAAGUUUCUUCAUUACACUUUACAAGGCCGAGAGGAGAUUGGUUAUAGCUUGGCGAGGUUUACACAGAACCUCCAAGGGCUCAGCUUUGGGCAUGGAAAGUCCUGUUCCUUCUGUCAUGUUGAUCUCCUCGUUGCCAAUCCUGCCCCAUUCAAAGGCCUGAAUCAAAGCACCGAGUGCUAGUCCUAUCACUUGCCUUGCAAGAAGAGCUCCAGGACAAGCCCGCCGUCCAGCACCAAAUGGAAUUAGCUUAUACCCUUCACUCUCUUCACUUUCAAAUCUCUCUGGCAUGAAUGCAGUUGGCUCCGCCCACAGCCUAGGGUCUCUGUGAAUGGUCCAUAGAUUGACUAGCAACAUUGUGCCUCGUGGCACAUCAAAACCAUAGACAGUACAGUCAUUAGAAGAUUCAUGUGGCAAUAGAAAGGGAAGUGCUGGAUACAGUCGAAAUGUCUCAUUGAUUACAUUUUGGAGGUAAUUCAGCUUUGAUAGGUCUGCUUCAUCCAGUAGACGAUCUAAUCCAACGUGGGUGUCUAUCUCAGCCACGGCCUUUUUCGCUGUUUGUGGAUGGUUGAGGAGGAGUGACAUCGCCCAUUCCAUGGUAGUUGCUGAAGUUUCUGUUCCAGCAACCAGCAUAGUCAGCAUAAAAGCUUUGAUAUCCACGUCACUAUAGAGUUCUGGUUGUUUCUUCUGCAGUGAUAUCAGGACAUCAAUCAAUGACAUCUUCCUGUCACCAGAUGAACCCAAGGACGAUUCACUUCUCAUUUUCCUGUGCUCAUCAACCAGGUACUGCAAAAAGGUAUCCAUUUUCUUCAUCAAUCUUUUCAUUCUCCUCUCCACGCCUUGAAAAUCCACCCAUUGUAGUACUGGCAACAGAUCAUUCAAAUUCAUGGUACCAUGGAUUUCUCCAAAUUCUCUCAUAAU